Long non-coding RNA from Acromyrmex echinatior (Panamanian leafcutter ant), 210 nucleotides. NCBI's taxonomy places the organism in Eukaryota, Metazoa, Arthropoda, Insecta, Hymenoptera, Formicidae. The record is from RefSeq and is a predicted model, not a curated record.
AUGAAAUACAUAUAUUAUGUAUAUGUUUCAAUAUAUCGUCGAAAUUAAGAUCAUUCAAUAGAAAGUUACUAAUUACUAUUCAAUAGAAACUACCAAAUACAAACGGUGUCAUGUUGUGCCUGGUUGUGCUGCAUUGAAGAUCUCGAAUUUUGGCUGUCAUUAUCAUUAAAUUGUCACGAACGAUUAGUGGAAUCUCGACAUGGCGACGCG